UAUCUGGUUGAUCCUGCCAGUAGUCAUACGCUCGUCUCAAAGAUUAAGCCAUGCAUGUGUAAGUCUAAAUAGUUUUAGUGUGAAACUGCGAAUGGCUCAUUAUAUCAGUUAUAGUUUAUUUGGAUGAAUUUUUCUAUGGAUAACCGUAGUAAUUCUAGGGCUAAUACAUGUUGUAAUCUCUUUGAGAUUUUCUUAUUAGAAUAAAACCAAUUGUAUUAGUGAGUAAUAAUAAUAGAAUCGAUCGCAUGCUUUUGUAGCGAUAAUCCUUUCAAGUUUCUGCCCUAUCAGCUUUCGAUGGUAGUGUAUUGGACUACCAUGGCAGUAACGGGUAACGAAGAAUUUGGGUUCGAUUUCGGAGAGGGAGCCUGAGAGAUGGCUACCACAUCCAAGGAAGGCAGCAGGCGCGCAAAUUCCCCAAUCCUGACACAGGGAGGU
Molecule: ribosomal RNA, 435 nt
Filed under: Blastocystis sp. subtype 6
Lineage: Eukaryota; Bigyra; Opalinata; Blastocystidae
Description: SSU rRNA
Rfam family: Eukaryotic small subunit ribosomal RNA
Source: RNAcentral